RNAcentral lists this ribosomal RNA (408 nucleotides) under uncultured bacterium. Its description in RNAcentral is "partial 16S ribosomal RNA". It matches the Rfam family "Bacterial small subunit ribosomal RNA", at positions 29 to 526 of the family's 1533-position model. The record is from RNAcentral.
AGUGAACGCUGGCGGCGUGCCUAAUACAUGCAAGUCGAACGAAGUGGCGCACGGGUGGGUGAUAUAUAGUUAAUCUGCCCUACAAAAAGGGACAACAGUUGGAAACGACUGCUAAUACCUCAUAGUGUAGGAUGAGACUAUAUCGUAUCAGCUAGUUGUUAAUGUAAUGGCUUACCAAGGCGAUGACGCGUAACUGGUCGGAGAGGAUGAUCAGCCACAUUGGACCGGAGACACGGGUCAGAAUCCUACGGGAGGGAGCAGUAAGGAAUAUUGCGCAAUGGGGGAAACCCUGACGCAGCUACGCGGCGUGGAGUAUGACACUCUGCGGAGAGGAAACUCCGUUUAUCAGGAAAGCGGUACCUGAUGAAUAAGCACCGGCUAACUCCGUGCCAGCCGCCGCGGUAAUUC